RNAcentral lists this ribosomal RNA (568 nucleotides) under uncultured bacterium. RNAcentral describes it as "partial 16S ribosomal RNA". It matches the Rfam family "Bacterial small subunit ribosomal RNA", at positions 355 to 918 of the family's 1533-position model. The record is from RNAcentral.
UGGGGAAUUUUGGACAAUGGGCGCAAGCCUGAUCCAGCCAUGCCGCGUGCGGGAAGAAGGCCUUCGGGUUGUAAACCGCUUUUGUCAGGGAAGAAAUCUUCUGAGUUAAUACCUCGGGAGGAUGACGGUACCUGAAGAAUAAGCACCGGCUAACUACGUGCCGCGAGCCGCGGUAAUACGUAGGGUGCAAGCGUUAAUCGGAAUUACUGGGCGUAAAGCGUGCGCAGGCGGUUUUGUAAGACAGAGGUGAAAUCCCCGGGCUCAACCUGGGAACUGCCUUUGUGACUGCAAGGCUUGAGUGCGGCAGAGGGGGAUGGAAUUCCGCGUGUAGCAGUGAAAUGCGUAGAUAUGCGAGGAACACCGAUGGCGAAGGCAAUCCCCUGGGCCUGCACUGACGCUCAUGCACGAAAGCGUGGGGAGCAAACAGGAUUAGAUACCCUGGUAGUCCACGCCCUAAAACGAUGUCAACUGGUUGUUGGGAAGGUUCCUUCUCAGUAACGUAGCUAACGCGAUAUGUGCACCCUGGGGAGUACGGCCGCAAGGUUGAAACUCAAAUGAAUUGACGGGG